RNAcentral lists this unclassified non-coding RNA (350 nucleotides) under plant metagenome. RNAcentral's name for it is "partial contains 5.8S ribosomal RNA, internal transcribed spacer 2, and large subunit ribosomal RNA". The stretch from base 1 to 105 matches the Rfam family "5.8S ribosomal RNA", at positions 50 to 154 of the family's 154-position model. The record is from RNAcentral.
GAAAUGCGAUAAGUAAUGUGAAUUGCAGAAUUCAGUGAAUCAUCGAAUAUUUGAACGCACCUUGCGCUCCUUGGUAUUCCGAGGAGCAUGCCUGUUUGAGUGUCAUGGAAUUCUCAACUCUAUUUGCUUUUGUGAAUAGAGCUUGGAUUUGGAGGUUUAUUGCUGGUACUUGUGAUCGGCUCCUCUUGAAUGCAUUAGCUCGAACCUUUGCGGAUCAGCUAUCGGUGUGAUAAUUGUCUACGCCGUUGCAGUGAAGCAUAUCAAUGGGCUCGGCUUCCAAUCGUCCUUUACUGGACAAUGACUUUGACCUUUGACCUCAAAUCAGGUAGGAUUACCCGCUGAACUUAAGC